Molecule: transfer RNA, 72 nt
Filed under: Camelus bactrianus (Bactrian camel)
Lineage: Eukaryota; Metazoa; Chordata; Mammalia; Artiodactyla; Camelidae
Also listed under: 2 other names
Rfam family: tRNA
About the family: Transfer RNA (tRNA) molecules are approximately 80 nucleotides in length. Their secondary structure includes four short double-helical elements and three loops (D, anti-codon, and T loops).
Source: Rfam by way of RNAcentral
GUGGGUAUAGCUCAGUAGUAGAGCACAUGCCUAGCAUGCAGGAGGUCCUGGGUUCAAUCUCCAGUAUCUCCA